GUCUUCAGCUGCUAGUUGCUUGAUUGGGUUAAUGAGCAUGUGUGGUGGGACAUGCCCCUAGCUGGUAAGGGGCAACCUGUCAGAGGGGGCUGUCUACAUGUGGAAGUUAACAGGAGAUUAUCAGUCAAACAAGGAUUAUCUCUAUCCAUCAGGAUACUGCUUCAUGUUACACCUUUCCUUCACAGGGAUAUAUUGGAGUAGCUUACUGGUACGUACUGUGAAUUUAAAACACAUUCUCUUAAGAGUAAAUAUAAUUGUGUUUACAUUUUUU
Molecule: long non-coding RNA, 271 nt
Filed under: Anser brachyrhynchus (Pink-footed goose)
Lineage: Eukaryota; Metazoa; Chordata; Aves; Anseriformes; Anatidae
Description: lncRNA (ENSABRG00000011328.1)
Source: RNAcentral